AGAAGCAGCAGAAAGUCUAUUAAUAAACGGGAUAUAUAUGCUUUGCAUGAAGAAAUUUGGUCACAUGUGCCAAUUUAACGAACGGUGGAAAGUCAGAACUUCUGAAAUCAGGAAGUAGCAAAUCCACACUAAAGCACAUAUGGACAGAAAGCAGCAAAGACUUGUCUAUCAGCCGACUCCUGUCACAGACUUUUCGUGGCAAAGAGAAUGAUACAGAUUUGGACCUGAGAUAUGACACCCCAGAACCUUAUUCUGAGCAAGACCUCUGGGACUGGCUGAGGAACUCCACAGACCUUCAAGAGCCUCGGCCCAGGGCCAAGAGAAGGCCCAUUGUUAAAACGGGCAAGUUUAAGAAAAUGUUUGGAUGGGGCGAUUUUCAUUCCAACAUCAAAACAGUGAAGCUGAACCUGUUGAUAACUGGAAAAAUUGUAGAUCAUGGCAAUGGGACAUUUAGUGUUUAUUUCAGGCAUAAUUCAACUGGUCAAGGGAAUGUAUCUGUCAGCUUGGUACCCCCUACAAAAAUCGUGGAAUUUGACUUGGCACAACAAACCGUGAUUGAUGCCAAAGAUUCCAAGUCUUUUAAUUGUCGCAUUGAAUAUGAAAAGGUUGACAAGGCUACCAAGAACACACUCUGCAACUAUGACCCUUCAAAAACCUGUUACCAGGAGCAGACCCAAAGUCAUGUAUCCUGGCUCUGCUCCAAGCCCUUUAAGGUGAUCUGUAUUUACAUUUCCUUUUAUAGUACAGAUUAUAAACUGGUACAGAAAGUGUGCCCUGACUACAACUACCACAGUGACACACCUUACUUUCCCUCGGGAUGAAGGUGAACAUGGGGGUGAGACUGAAGCCUGAGGAAUUAAAGGUCAUAUGACAGGGCUGUUACCUCAAAGAAGAAGGUCACAUCUGUUGCCUGGAAUGUGUCUACACUGCUGCUCUUGUCAACUGGCUGCAAAUACACUAGUGGAAAACAAUCUGAUGUAAUUUCUGCCCAGUCAGCUUCAUCCCUCAGUAUAAUUGUAAAUCAUCACAGAUUUUGAA
Molecule: small RNA, 1038 nt
Filed under: Pongo abelii (Sumatran orangutan)
Lineage: Eukaryota; Metazoa; Chordata; Mammalia; Primates; Hominidae
Description: processed transcript
Source: RNAcentral